This 439-nucleotide ribosomal RNA is filed under the name uncultured bacterium. RNAcentral describes it as "partial 16S ribosomal RNA". It matches the Rfam family "Bacterial small subunit ribosomal RNA", at positions 339 to 795 of the family's 1533-position model. The record is from RNAcentral.
CUACGGGUUGCACCAGUGGGGAAUAUUGGACAAUGGGCGCAAGCCUGAUCCAGCAAUGCCGCGUGAGUGGAGACGGCCUUAGGGUUGUAAAACUCUUUCGCUAGGGAAGAUAAUGACUGUACCUAGUAAAGAAGUCCCGGCUAACUCCGUGCCAGCAGCCGCGGUAAUACGGAGGGGACUAGCGUUGUUCGGAAUUACUGGGCGUAAAGAGUGCGUAGGCGGACUGACAAGUUAGAGGUGAAAUCCCAGGGCUCAACCCUGGAACUGCCUUUAAAACUGUCAGUCUAGAGAGCGGAAGAGGUUAGGGGAAUACCUAGUGUAGAGGUGACAUUCGUAGAUAUUAGGUGGAACACCAGUGGCGAAGGCGCCUAACUGGUCCGGUACUGACGCUGAGGAACGAAAGCGUGGGGAGCAAACAGGAUUAGAUACCCGCGUAGUC